This 253-nucleotide ribosomal RNA is filed under the name uncultured bacterium. RNAcentral's name for it is "partial 16S ribosomal RNA". It matches the Rfam family "Bacterial small subunit ribosomal RNA", at positions 524 to 776 of the family's 1533-position model. The record is from RNAcentral.
UACGAAGGGGGCUAGCGUUGCUCGGAAUCACUGGGCGUAAAGCGCACGUAGGCGGAUUGCUAAGUCAGGGGUGAAAUCCUGGAGCUCAACUCCAGAACUGCCCUUGAUACUGGCGGUCUCGAGUCCGGGAGAGGUGAGUGGAACUGCGAGUGUAGAGGUGAAAUUCGUAGAUAUUCGCAAGAACACCAGUGGCGAAGGCGGCUCACUGGCCCGGUACUGACGCUGAGGUGCGAAAGCGUGGGGAGCGAUCCGG